UGCUGAAGUGCCGACUAGUGCUGAAAGUGAAGCUGACAGGAACCGCCGUAUUCUGAGGUUGACCUGUGACACGCUGAGGUCACAGAUUGAGUCGAUGGAGUCGAGGAUGGACUCUGAGAUUAAACGGCUACAGCAGUGUGUCGAGUUGUCGGCGGAGGCCACAUCGGCGGAGAUAGACAGGAGGGCGGAGGAACUGAUUGCACGCUUCACACUGGGAGUCAGACUAGAACAGACGGAGGCGCUGAGGCUGUUGAAAGAUGGUUACUUGGGAGACUGAUUACAUAACCAGCAUGGAUCUCUUUAGUCUGGUGUUGAAACAACUGGAAUCACCUUUAAUGCAACACACUAUCCCAUAUGGAUGGACGCAUUGAUUACAGACCCUCAUAUAGCUCAUGACUGCAGACAGGCACUGAAAUACAUGUAUACAUAAUGGCCUGGUAACAACACAUUUACAUGUCCGACAUUUACAAAUUCCCUUCAUCAUUCCUUCACAAACAUGCCGAUAACUUUAUUCAUUCAUAUCACUGUUCUUAUCGAACAGAUACUUUGUGUGUGUGCCCGAGUAAUUUAUAUGUCACUGUACUAAUAUUUUAUUUCUAUAUAUUUUAAUAAAAAUGCAUGUAAUCAAAUUGUACGAUGCAUGACUACAUUAAAUCGAUUUAAUCUA
Long non-coding RNA from Gigantopelta aegis, 667 nucleotides. RefSeq lists it as uncharacterized. The transcript has 3 exons. The record is from RefSeq and is a predicted model, not a curated record. NCBI's taxonomy places the organism in Eukaryota, Metazoa, Mollusca, Gastropoda, Neomphalida, Peltospiridae.